UACGGGGGGGGCAAGCGUUGUUCGGAAUUACUGGGCGUAAAGGGCUCGUAGGCGGCCAACUAAGUCAGACGUGAAAUCCCUCGGCUUAACCGGGGAACUGCGUCUGAUACUGGAUGGCUUGAAUCCGGGAGAGGGAUGCGGAAUUCCAGGUGUAGCGGUGAAAUGCGUAGAUAUCUGGAGGAACACCAACGGCGAAGGCAGCUCGCUGGGACGGUACUGACGCUGAGACGCGAAAGCGUGGGGAGCGAACAGG
Molecule: ribosomal RNA, 253 nt
Filed under: uncultured bacterium
Lineage: Bacteria
Description: partial 16S ribosomal RNA
Rfam family: Bacterial small subunit ribosomal RNA
Source: RNAcentral